GGGCCGUUAGCUCAGUUGGUUAGAGCAGGGGACUCAUAAUCCCUGGGUCGCGGGUUCAAGUCCCGCACGGCCUA
RNAcentral lists this transfer RNA (74 nucleotides) under Nocardioides panzhihuensis. Its description in RNAcentral is "tRNA-Ile". It matches the Rfam family "tRNA". From Rfam's summary of the family: Transfer RNA (tRNA) molecules are approximately 80 nucleotides in length. Their secondary structure includes four short double-helical elements and three loops (D, anti-codon, and T loops). The record is from RNAcentral. Lineage: Bacteria; Bacillati; Actinomycetota; Actinomycetes; Propionibacteriales; Nocardioidaceae. RNAcentral also lists the same sequence under 1 other name.